CGGGAAUAAAAAACGUUCAGUUUAGUUUUAAAUCCCUCUGUGGUGCAACAGGCAUGGCACAUUAGACUUGUUGGCAGAAAUUAGCUGAAAUGUAAAAAUUAUGAAAAAUGCAGCAUUUAUCUUUGAAAAGAGUAGAAACUACUGGAGACAGAAACUGGACCUGCAGUAGAUGAGUACGUGUUAAACAGCAGGGCAAUAGAAACGUCCGCUCAGAGUGCUGAGUAUUGAAAGAUAACCAAUAAAAAUGUUGGAUAUCUUUUUUAUUUCUUAGAUCAAAGACGUGGAACAGAAAGAUGGUAUAGAAACAAUGUGGAAAAUCUGGUCAACCAACCCUGGGUCACAUUUUUUAUGACAAAGCCAGCAGAGAGAAAAUAACAAAGAACUAAACACCAGCUACACGUUUGCAUUUCAUAUCCAGAGGAUCAAGUUAAACUUGUUCCACAAAAGUACAUUUCUAUCCUAUCCUAUCAUACUCAGUGAAAGAUGACUGUACCUGAUCAUGAUUGGCUGCAUAUCAAAUACAGAGAAGGUAUAAAUAAUGAGGAAAAGGCUGGAGACACACCAACAUCUCUUGGAUGCUGCUUGCAGAACCACACCUGAACCAUUCAACUGGGAAACAGCUGGACUCGGCCUGUACGUCUUUGACUCAAGUCACUCUGUUUGACACGUAAACUGCUGCAAAACAUGGCCAACAUCAUGCUGCAGGAAUUUGAAUACACUGAUGGUGCUUCAAAAGCACGAAAACAAAAAGAUCGGGCCCAACAAAUGAAAGAGAACCCAGAAACUCUUUAUACAUGUGAAAACGUU
This is a long non-coding RNA of Fundulus heteroclitus (mummichog), 807 nucleotides long. RefSeq lists it as uncharacterized. NCBI's taxonomy places the organism in Eukaryota, Metazoa, Chordata, Actinopteri, Cyprinodontiformes, Fundulidae. The record is from RefSeq and is a predicted model, not a curated record. The transcript has 3 exons.